AGUGAACGCUGGCGGUAGGCCUAACACAUGCGAGUCGAACGGCAGCACAGUAAGAGCUUGCUCUUACGGGUGGCGAGUGGCGGACGGGUGAGGAAUACAUCGGAAUCUACUUUUUCGUGGGGGAUAACGUAGGGAAACUUACGCUAAUACCGCAUACGACCUACGGGUGAAAGCAGGGGAUCUUCGGACCUUGCGCGAUUGAAUGAGCCGAUGUCGGAUUAGCUAGUUGGCGGGGUAAAGGCCCACCAAGGCGACGAUCCGUAGCUGGUCUGAGAGGAUGAUCAGCCACACUGGAACUGAGACACGGUCCAGACUCCUACGGGAGGCAGCAGUGGGGAAUAUUGGACAAUGGGUGCAAGCCUGAUCCAGCCAUACCGCGUGGGUGAAGAAGGCCUUCGGGUUGUAAAGCCCUUUUGUUGGGAAAGAAAAGCAGCAGGUUAAUACCCCGCUGUUCUGACGGUACCCAAAGAAUCAGCACCGGCUAACUUCGUG
This 492-nucleotide ribosomal RNA is filed under the name uncultured bacterium. Its description in RNAcentral is "partial 16S ribosomal RNA". It matches the Rfam family "Bacterial small subunit ribosomal RNA", at positions 29 to 507 of the family's 1533-position model. The record is from RNAcentral.